Molecule: long non-coding RNA, 3043 nt
Organism: Lytechinus pictus (painted urchin)
Lineage: Eukaryota; Metazoa; Echinodermata; Echinoidea; Temnopleuroida; Toxopneustidae
Exons: 3
Source: RefSeq, a predicted model, not a curated record
GGGCAAGCAGUUUUUGUCUUUGCUUCAAAACACUUGCCCGACUCUAACUUUUACUUGCCCCGGGCAAUCGGGCAAGCGCUUAUGUCGCACCCUGAUAUUUGUUAUAAAUGUGAAAAUUGAUACUCACCAAAAAUUAGCAUUCUACUAGUUUAAUAGAGUUCAAGGCAAAAACAUUAAAAAAAAAAAAUUUGGGCAAAUUUCAUAUGCUUAUUUGCAUAAUUAAUUAAUGAAAAAAUAUAAACAAUUAAUUUUUGUCUUGUAAAUUUGAUGCAGAAGUACAUGAAAUUGCUGAUAGUACACUUAAUUGCAUGUAAAAUCAAAUGCACCCAAAUGUGCGGAAUUCUACUACACAGUCUGCUUGCGUGAGUGGCUGUAUAAUAGAAAACAUAAAGUUCAACAAAUCCACACUUUAAAUGUUUUGAAUAGCAAAUAUAGGCUAAAACCAUGUAAUAUUACAGUUUUAGUAGUUUUAGUAUAAUUCUUAAUUGAUCAUGCAGUGUUCCAACUUACCCCAUACCAUGUUUCAACUUACCCCGUAUUGGGUAAGUUGGAACGUUUGCGAUGGUCUUAUUGAAGGGCAAGGCCGGGUGGGAUUAACAUUUUCGGAGCUCUUUCAGGUCGGUGUUUACCUGUGAAUGUAAUACAAUCAUUGAUCAUUUUUGACAAAUUACCUCAGUAACAUCACUUUCAAACCUGUAUCAAGUAUUCAAAAACUGUUGUCAUCAUUGUUUUCUUGUCAUUUUGUUAUUAUUACAUGUACUUGGGUAUUCGAGUUAUCCCAACGUCAUAAUCGGGAUCUGCCGAACAUUCGAUUAGUGUAAAUUUUGCUAAUCGAUUGGCGAUCGGCGGCAAGCCAUUCGAACCAUUCAAUCAAUCGAUGUUUACUCCCAGGCCUAGUACGUAUGUACACGAACGAUCGCAAGCCCGCCAACUCUCGAGCUAGAUCGCGCUGAAUGCAUGCAAGCUUCAGACUGACUCGGCCAGGACUCGGCUUCAACUUCAAACCAAAUAAACAAUGAGUUGUCAGACUAGAAUAGGCGACUUUUGUCGUCGCGAUCGGCGACCAGAACAACUUGAACAAGAGUCAAGAAAAAGAAAUGCCGAGGCCAGCACCAGUAAAUCAAGUUCAGCCAGGACAGAAAAGAAUAAUUAAGAGCAAAAUAAAUUUUGAAAAAAAAUAGGCAAGCAGUUUUUUCUAUCUGGCAAGCAAAUUUUUUUAUCACUUGCCCGACAGAGCAAGUGAUGAAAAAUCUUUUUGAAGAGGCCUGAAAAUCUAUUUGGAUUUUACAGCCAUUUUUGUCAAAAAUGUUCCAACUAACCCCGAUCUCCUCUAUAAUCAAAGGGUGAUGUAAACAAGAAAAUUAAUGAUGUUUCAAUGUCACAAAGUCAUCAAUCCUGUGUGGAUAUUGAUUUGUGUAAAGCAGGUGAGUCAUUCCACUUGAGAACCAAGAACUAAGUUUUCUCUUAAAUUUAUGUUCCUACAGAGGGUAUAUAGAGUGCUAUUCACAAGAACAAAGCCCUAGAAAAGAGGUUCCAUCGGACAGAUGUGGCCCAGCGGGAAGCGCAGAAUAUGGAGGUAGAUCAGGAAAAGGUUGUUGUCAUGCUGGAGGAUCAACUUAAGAAAUUCAGGUCAGAUGUCCAGAAGAGUCCCAGGAACCAGUGAGGGUAUAUAGAGUGCUAUUCACAAGAACACAGCCCUAGAAAAGAUGUUCCAUCUGGCAGAAGUGACCCAACUGGAAGCGCAGAAUAUGGAGGUAGAUCAGGAAAAGGUUGUUGUCAUGCUGGAGGAUCAACUUAAGAAAUUCAGGUCAGAUGUCCAGAAGAGUCCCAGGAAACAGUGAGGGUAUAUAGAGUGCUAUUCACAAGAACACAGCCCUAGAAAAGACGUUCCAUCUGGCAGAAGUGACCCAACAGGAAGCGCAGAAUAUGGAGGUAGAUCGGGAAAAGGUUGUUGUCAUGCUGGAGGAUCAACUUAAGAAAUUCAGGUCAGAUGUCCAGAAGAUGCCCAGGAAACAGUGGUAAGUUGUGCAGUAUUUAUAAUUAUCAUCUAUGUAGAGUGUUUAGCGAUGCAUUAAAAACGCGUAUUUUGUUCUGCAUCAAUUGCCUGUGCAGUAUCAGAGCAUAUCCCUCAAAAGGACCGAAAUACGACGAAUAUCCCACAGGCUCCUGUACAAAAUUUGUUAUUGAAUAUGAGAGCAUAUUCAACGGCUUAUUAUAUUCACUCGCGUUCGUAAUCACUCGCGUCGGGUUGGUAAUCACACGCGUUUUUGAUUUUUGGCGAUUUUUUUUUUUUUCGGUGCGAUUUUUUUUCUAACGGUGUCUUCAAUGGGACAAACGUACUGGAAAAAUAAAAUAAAAUUGAAAUUCGAGUUUCGUUUUAUUUUAAACUGGUAAGUGCCUUAAAUAAAACGUUCUCGACCACUGUUUUAAGAUAACAAGCAAAUUUUGACUACUGUUUUAACAUAAUCACAUUCCACAUCUUAAAUCUUAGAGCCAUAGGCGGGGGGGGGGGGGCUCCCCCUAAAAAAAGAGAGAGGGGGGAGAAAGGAAGGGAAAGAGGGAGAAAAGAGAAAGAAAAAAAAAGACAGACAGAAAGAAAGAAGCAAGGAAAAAAGGAGAAAGAAAGGAGAAAAGGAAUAAAGAAGAAAAAGGAGGAAAGGCUACUCUCGAUUUAGCUUUGCCUUUGGAGGAUUUUCCUGAAGUCUGUGGUAUUCUUUAUAAAGCAUAGUGAGGUGCUACAAGUUCAUAAUAUCACUAUUUAUUUGCUUCUCCCUUUCUUUGUGAAUUAUUUUACACUAACGUAAAAAUCAGGGAGGAAAAAAGUGCUGAAGAAGAAAAGCAAGAAGGAAGGAGGAGGAGAAGUAGAAGAAGAAAAAAGAAGAUGGAGGACAUAAGGGGGUAAAAAUGAAACUAAAAAGAGAAAAUUGAGGGGAGGAUGUAGAAGAAGAGAAAGAGAAGAUAAAAUAAGGGGAAGACUGAGAAGAGAGAAGGAAGAAGUGAGAAGGGAGAUGAACAAUAAGAUGAAAAGGGAAGAAAUUGAGAA